Molecule: non-coding RNA, 114 nt
Organism: Acanthosepion pharaonis
Lineage: Eukaryota; Metazoa; Mollusca; Cephalopoda; Sepiida; Sepiidae
Source: the annotation of a GenBank genome assembly
UUACGGUCAUAUCAUUUUGAAACACCGGUUCUUGUACGAUUACAGAAGUUAAGCAACGUCGAGCUUGGUUAAUACCUAGAUUGGUGAGCGCUCAGGAAUACCUUGUGAUGUAUG